CAUCACGAUCAUCGUAAAAUAAAUUAUAGAAAGAUAAUAAAACAUAAAUAAAUAUGUACCAUUUACAUCAACAUUUUUGCACGAAUGUUUGAUCUUUUUUUCUCCCUUUUGUAACGCACAGGCAUAUUUGCUAGUAGUAAUAAAAUAUUAAAAUGCUAAAGGUAUGGAAUUGGUCUCUAAUAAUCUAAUAAAUUAAAUAUCAUUUGCCUCAUAAACUACUGCAGCACGGAUGUCGGUAAUUGCAGCGGCGCCGGCGCCUAUUCCUGAGGCUCCUGAAAUCAAAACCAGUCCACCUGAUUCAAGUCAGGUCACAAAGAGGAUAUAGCAUACGGAGCACUAGUAGUAGUAUCAGAUCAUAAACUAGUAGUAUUUUAUCAGAUCAGAUAUUCAGAUGAGGUCGAGAAUAAACGUACGGGGAGUUAUCCUGGGGCUCAGGACGAUCCAUCUCCCUGAGCCACCGCCGCGUACUCUCCCGUUCCUCGGCUGUCAGGCUGCGGAUGUACGGGUCGGUCGCUAUCAGCCACCACAUGUCCAACUUGUCAAGCAAGGCGUCGACGAAGGAACACAGCGCAGCGUAGGCGGAGGACACCACGGAUCCCAUCGCCGCGGUUCGAUUCGAUCCGGUAUUGAAGUCUGCAGAUAAUCGAACGCGCGCGAUUUGUAUAGGGUUGGUCUCGUCGGAUACUUACGAGUAAUUACUCUUUAUAUAGAGAGGACGAGAAAUCAAUCUGCUGGAUCCAUCCGGUUUUCGGAGUCCGAUCUAUUGGACUACGAUCGGAAGAUAGGG
RNAcentral lists this long non-coding RNA (787 nucleotides) under Sorghum bicolor (sorghum). RNAcentral describes it as "long non-coding RNA (SBIC_LNC005769)". The record is from RNAcentral. Lineage: Eukaryota; Viridiplantae; Streptophyta; Magnoliopsida; Poales; Poaceae.